Molecule: long non-coding RNA, 366 nt
Organism: Podarcis raffonei (Aeolian wall lizard)
Lineage: Eukaryota; Metazoa; Chordata; Lepidosauria; Squamata; Lacertidae
Exons: 2
Source: RefSeq, a predicted model, not a curated record
CAGAGACCAUUCAGAGAUAGGAUCGACUCCCCCCGCCCCGUCUAUAUCCCCCUUUCCCUCCCAAACGGCAUACAGGAGACGAUGCACAAGAAAGUAUGUGCUUACUUGCUGACUGACAUGGGUUAACGCACAGGAGAGUAAGCGCAACCGCAGUUCUGGCUACAGUCCCGAACAGUACCAUCCAUGGUCGUCUUGUCAGUGGUAGUGGUGAGGAGCACAAGCAAGUAAUUUUUCUGAAGAGAUAGCUGCCUGCCUUUGCCAUGGCUUAUCAACAGAAUGGCAAUAGCUAAGUUCUGGAGUGACUCUAUUACUUCCCCUUUUUUUCCCUUUUGGCAGAUUUAAAUAAAGAUGGCAGUCUUACUUAUU